UUCCUCUUCAUCUGUAUUUUUAUAGGUUUAUUUACAUCUUAAGCCAUUAUGGUAUUGCCUUAAGAUCUCUUAUGGGAUUAACUAAGAAACUUGAACUGGUAGUUUACUGUGCGUAUUGUGUCAUCUGCAUAAUUGGAUUAUGUUUUUAGAGAGAGAUCUGCAUAUGAUGGAGUUAUUUUGAAGCUAAACCAACAGAAGCUUAUAAAUGCUGUACUGCUGUCUCAACAUCUUUACUUGAAAAUCAAAUAUGUGACUAUGAGGUUACUGUUUGUUACAUUUCUUUCGUGAAUCUCCUGCCUUCCAUGCCUGUGCUUUACACCAUAAUAACCUGUACGGCAACUAUCUUUUUGACGUUAUUUGAAGAAAAAAGGCAGGUAGACAUGAUCUUCUGGUAAUGUCAAAAAUCUUAAUGAAUACCAAGUUGAUGAGUCAUCAUUUGAUGGAAGGUAACGGGAUUAAACAAGGAAACUUAGACCUGAAUUUUGCUACCAAUAUGCUUCUUCUGCAGUUAAUGAUUUGUAGCAUUUGCAACAAAUUUUAUUAGUAAUUAUCUUUCUCAAUAAUUUUUUUUAUUAGUAAUUAUCCCAAGCAUCAUAGUAUAUCUGAAUUUAAUAUCACUAAGGGGUCGUUUGGUAGAGUGUAUUAAAAAAAUAAUGCAUGCAUUAACCUUGUGUAUUACUAAUACCUUGUUUGGUACUCUUUUCCAACCUAUGUAUAACUAAUGCAAACAUUACUUAUACACUCUAUUGUGCAUUAUGGUCUAUAUUGCUAAUACCAUGGAUUUCUAGGUAUUAGCAAUGCAAUGCUUUUAAUGUAUGCAUUAACUCAAUUAAAGACCCAAUUGCCCCUCAAUACCUUUUUUUAUAUCUUUUCCACCAUAAGUGUAGGGCAUCUUUGUAAAUAAUUUUUUUAAUGCAUGCAUUCUAUAUUUCUAUUUUUAAUGCAUCAAACCAAACAAUGAAUAAAAAUAAUUCAUGUAUAAUUAAUGCAAUCAUAACUAAUACAUGCAUUGCUAAUGCAAGCAUUACUAAUACAUUCUAUUAAUACACUGUACCAAACGACCCUAAGUAUACCACAACCACAACACAAAAUGCUCCUUCUAGUUUCCUGUAUUGAAGUUACGUAUUUCAAAAGAAAAAAAAAUCCUCCUUCUAGUUUCCUGUAUUCUAUUUUAUGUAUUCAUAUGACUCGACUGGUUCAGUAACAAUUGUCCUGCAUGUGGCUUUCUGUCAGCAGUACUCUCUAGCCUGCGAUACCUGUUAUUUGUAGUCUUAGAUUACCUAUGUGGACUGAUUGACAUGCAUAGGUGGAGAAGAAGUCCCUCUUCAAUAUGUAACAAGCCAAAUGUUUUAAUGUUUCACAAAUAGUGAUAUUGUCUGGUUAUGUAAAAUAUGCAAAGUAAUAUCAACAGCACCGAUGACAUAUCUCAUCAUUUUGCCCACAUAAUGCAAAUAUCUUGAGGAAGCAUUUCAUGUUUUCUUGGCUUUAGCUUUAAAAUAUGGAGCCUUUCAUAAUUGAUGAUUAUCUUUGAGUGCUGGCUUAGAAGGAGCUUCUCUUCUGAAGAACAGGAGUGUUUUUUAAUAUAUAACUGAGAGUAGUAAUUCUAACAAAAAUGAAAGGAUUAACAUGUUAACACUUAAAACAGUCGGUCUUUCUGUUCAUCAUUUUUCUGUAAGUUGAUAAAUUUCUGCUUAAAUUAACUUUUGAAGCAUGAAAAUACAGGAAGCGUAACUCCUUAAAUUACUUUCUCGCAGAAGCUAUUCAAUACUGACCACAAAAGGUUGAAAUAUGUCUCUUUGGCUUCUUUAGGGUGCUUCCAUUGUUCCGUCAGAUUAGUUUUCUAGACUGUUGGUUUGUAGCCAAAAUUGAUCUAGUGAACCGAUCAGCUCUUAAAAUAUAAAGUUAAAAGUGAAUCUCCUCUGAAAGAAAUAUAAAGUUAAAAGUGAAUCUCCUCUGAAA
Non-coding RNA from Solanum lycopersicum (tomato), 1959 nucleotides. The record is from RefSeq and is a predicted model, not a curated record. NCBI's taxonomy places the organism in Eukaryota, Viridiplantae, Streptophyta, Magnoliopsida, Solanales, Solanaceae.